CUGCAUGAAGCUGGAAUCGCUAGUAAUCGCGGAUCAGAAUGCCGCGGUGAAUACGUUCCCGGGUCUUGUACACACCGCCCGUCACACCAUGGGAGUCGGGAAUGCCCGAAGUCAGUGACCCAACCGAAAGGGGGAGCUGCCGAAGGCAGGCCUGGUAACUGGGGUGAAGUCGUAACAAGGUACC
Molecule: ribosomal RNA, 184 nt
Filed under: uncultured bacterium
Lineage: Bacteria
Description: partial 16S ribosomal RNA
Rfam family: Bacterial small subunit ribosomal RNA
Source: RNAcentral